Molecule: ribosomal RNA, 424 nt
Filed under: Fusobacteriota bacterium
Lineage: Bacteria; Fusobacteriati; Fusobacteriota
Description: Fusobacteria bacterium partial 16S ribosomal RNA
Rfam family: Bacterial small subunit ribosomal RNA
Source: RNAcentral
UGAGGAAUAUUGGUCAAUGGGCGCUAGCCUGAACCAGCCAAGUAGCGUGAAGGAUGAAGGCUCUAUGGGUCGUAAACUUCUUUUAUAUAAGAAUAAAGUGCAGUAUGUAUACUGUUUUGUAUGUAUUAUAUGAAUAAGGAACGGCUAACUCCGUGCCAGCAGCCGCGGUAAUACGGAGGAUCCGAGCGUUAUCCGGAUUUAUUGGGUUUAAAGGGAGCGUAGGUGGACUGGUAAGUCAGUUGUGAAAGUUUGCGGCUCAACCGUAAAAUUGCAGUUGAUACUGUCAGUCUUGAGUACAGUAGAGGUGGGCGGAAUUCGUGGUGUAGCGGUGAAAUGCUUAGAUAUCACGAAGAACUCCGAUUGCGAAGGCAGCUCACUGGACUGCAACUGACACUGAUGCUCGAAAGUGUGGGUAUCAAACAGG